Molecule: ribosomal RNA, 301 nt
Filed under: uncultured bacterium
Lineage: Bacteria
Description: partial 16S ribosomal RNA
Rfam family: Bacterial small subunit ribosomal RNA
Source: RNAcentral
CAGUCGCCGCGGUAAUACGGAGGGAGCUAGCGUUGUUCGGAAUUACUGGGCGUAAAGCGCGCGUAGGCGGUUACUCAAGUCAGAGGUGAAAGCCCGGGGCUCAACCCCGGAACUGCCUUUGAAACUAGGUGACUAGAAUCUUGGAGAGGUCAGUGGAAUUCCGAGUGUAGAGGUGAAAUUCGUAGAUAUUCGGAAGAACAUCAGUGGCGAAGGCGACUGACUGGACAAGUAUUGACGCUGAGGUGCGAAAGCGUGGGGAGCAAACAGGAUUAGAUACCCGUGUAGUCCCUGUCUCUUAUAC